UGUGUUCCAAAACGAAAUGUGCUCC
RNAcentral lists this non-coding RNA (25 nucleotides) under Drosophila melanogaster (fruit fly). Lineage: Eukaryota; Metazoa; Arthropoda; Insecta; Diptera; Drosophilidae. The record is from RNAcentral.